Molecule: long non-coding RNA, 33498 nt
Filed under: Capsicum annuum
Lineage: Eukaryota; Viridiplantae; Streptophyta; Magnoliopsida; Solanales; Solanaceae
Description: long non-coding RNA (CANN_LNC019776)
Source: RNAcentral
CUGCGUAUACUGAAAAUUUAGCGACAAAUCCCCUAAAUCACGAAAAAAAAAAAAAAAAACUCUCUCUAUAUUAUCUCUGCAAUUUUGCAGACCUAGAGCCAUCCUUUUUGACUUUAUGCUCAAGUUGUGUGUUUCCAAACUCAAAAUUCAAUCCAAAUCGGAAGAUGUCUAUUCAAAUUCGAAUUUUAGGGAUAUGUUUCUCCCCUAUAAGUAGGGAUUGAGGGGAAGAAGGCAGGGAGAAAAAAAGAAUUUUGGGAAAACAAUUGGGGGUUCUGAAGGCGCUUGCUUUUUACCUUACUUAACCAAAAUUCUCGACGAACCCACUCCGAAAAUCGAAUUCCAGCGAAACUGUUGAACUCCGGCGAGGCUAGUUGGCAUUUCGUGAUAUGCUUGUUUGUUUCGUUCGCUGCCCGAAAACAGGUGAACGUUCACCUUCUCGCACCCUCUCUUUGUUAUCUAAUUAUUACGACGCGAAAUCUCAUUACUAAUGGUGGAAUUUGGUUGUUAUUGAAGUAGUUGUCGUUUUGGAAUCUCACACUAGGUGAGAGAUGGGAUUAUGUGUUGUAGAAGGGCUCUCAUGGCCGUAGGAUUUUCAUGUAAUGGAGUUCUAAGUUUUACCUCGAUCGAUUGAGUUAAUAUUUUUACUCUAGCUGUUUCGGUGCAUCGUUUCGCUUAGUGUAGGUUUUAUCUCUUUAAACGCAUUGAUCCAUCUUAGUGUUUCUUUUCUAACAUUCAAGUUAUUGUCUUUGUAGUGUAAGUACUGUUUUGCAGCAAUUUGGAGCCCUUUUUUUUGUGUGUAUUUUUUGUUUUCUUGAUCAUGCUCUUAUGAGUUUGUGUAGUUUGUGUUGUUUGGUUUGUUUGGCAACUAGGCACUAAGGAACUUUUGAAAUCUUGAUUAAUACUGUCCUACACACAUUGUCUUAAAGCUACAAAUUCUGGUUAAAAUAAUUAUAUGUCUAAGCUAUUGAAAGUGAUUUCAGGUGUGAAUUCUUCAUUUACGCAAAAUGUCGUACUAAUAGAAGUAGCUAGCAGGUCCCAAUGUAUAUGAGUUCCCAGGCCAAUUCGAAAAUAUGAUAAAAUUUCAUAUACUCCUAAAGAUAAUAAUCAACCUUUCAAAGUUGAAGUGAAAACACGUGGCUUAAUCAAUCAAAAUGAUGAUUCCUAGCUUCAUUAUAUGUUAAAUUAUAUAGCUUAUUAGCACACCUUAUUUGCUAAACUUUAUUCUAUGUUUGAAAGUUUGUUAAGUGUUUAUGUGCCAUCCAUAUUCCCUUUCAUUAUUGGUAUCAAGUACAUUACCAGCAUUCAAACACAAAAAGAUCUUAGCUCUAGAUAUUAAUUAUUUAGUGUUGUCUAAAGAAUUUGACUAGAUAUUACUUAUUUAAUAUGUUGCCUAAGAAUUUGACUAUUUGGAUAUAUUCUCAUUCUUUUUUCCUUUGUGUGUGCAUGAACUCCUCCGUCGAGUCCCUCGGACUCCCUUCUCUCGCAUUCCGUUGGGUUAAAUCCAACUCGCAUCGAGUCAAGACCCGUGCCAAAAACAAAAUGGACUAAUGCAUGAAGAAAAAUGGGUUGAUACAAAGAUGUAUACACAGAUAUACAGCAGCAUACAUGAGAUAUGCAGUGAAAAACGGGAGGUGAAGUUGGUGUACAGGUGGAAGACCAAAAUAUAUGCAUCAGAUAUACAAAAACGCUGGGAAAAAUAUAUGCAGUAUACAGAUGAUAUACACUGAAAUAAUGGACUAAAGUUCAUGGGAUUUAGGCCCAAAAGCUGGGAAGCCUAUUAAUGGGUCAAAAGGGUCCAAUUUUAACUCUUUCUUUAUUGGAUAAAUUACACAAAUCUCAUACUUAAAGAGAUUAUAUUAGCCUAAUAUCCCUAACUUUUUUAAAAUUUAUAUAAAAUUCCAUUUUACAACUUUACUCUUGAUACAUAUCAAAAAAACCUCACAUCCUAUUUUUACUCCACCAUUAACUCAUUCAAGAUUUCCUUCCCGAAAAUAUCUCUCAAAUUAUCAACAAUUAAAUGAUCUUCCUUUCUGAUUUUUUUCUCCUCCAUUAAUGCAUGCAAUUUUGUUUUUCCUCUCAUUCUUUUUUUUAUAUCUAUUGAUACAUAUAUAAAUUUAUUUAGUUAUUCAUACAUGUGUAUUCUUUUAAUGGUGAUUCAUAUGAAUGAUAAAUAUGAUAUCAUUAUAUGGGUAUUAUGGUGAUUCAUAUGAUAGAUACAUUUUGUGUGAUUUUAACGGGUGAUACAUAUGAUAUUAAUGGGUGAUACAUAUUGUAUUAUGGUGAUUCAUAUGGUAGAUGCAAUUAUUUAUUUCAAUUAUCGGGUGAUUAAUAUAUAUGAUAUAAUGGUGAUUCAUAUGGUAGAUACAAUUAUUUAUUUCAAUUAUUGGGUGAUUCAUAUGAUAUUAAUGGGUGAUAUAUAUGGUAUUUUAUGGUGAUUCAUAUGGUAGAUACAAUUAUUUAUUUCAAUAAUUGGGUGAUUCAUAUGUUAUUAAUGAAAGGUAAUGGUGUAGUCAGUGUAAGAAAUAAAAGUAAUAAUAUUAAAAAAAAAAAAAAGACUAAGAGUAGAAUUGAAAUAUAAUUCAAAUUAAAUCUAAAAAAAAAAAACUAAAAUUAAAAACGAAAAAAAGAGAAAAAAAAUAUCUUUUAUAAUUAAAGACGAAAAAAGAGAAACAUAUUAAAACACCUAAAUUAAAUAUUAAAAAAAAGUGAAAAAUUAGAUAUCUUUCCUUAAAUAAAAAAAUAUAAUGCAUAAAAGAGAAUCUGUUACUUCCUUAAAUAAAUAUCUUGUUAGUUUCAAAUGUAUCACUUUCUUAUAUGUAUCACCAUAUAACAUAUGUAUCACCAUUUCAAAAAAUUGGGAUAAAAUGUAAUUAACAAAAUAGUCGAGAUUUUAUAUAAUAUCACUUAAAGAUUGAGGAAGUUAUGUAAGUUACCCUUCUUUAUUUCUUAUUCUUAUUUAUUUGUAUUUUUUUGAACACUCUAACUAAUUAAUCUAGAUAAAUCACCUAAGGCGUUAUCAUUUUAUUUUAUCACAGCUUUUAGUUAAUUCGUAAUUUCCUCUCCUAAUUUAUCUCGUCUAAAUAAAUUAUAAUGGUUCUUUUGAUUUUUCUUCCUAAAACUAAUCUUACAAAAUUUGUUGAUCAUUUCUCUUUAAAAUGACAUUUGUCUUGUUCAUAUGACUAAUGACUUACAUGGAUUAAAAUAAUUUACUUCAAACCAAGAAAACUAAUUUUUCUCAUAAAUCCUAGUUUUCCAUAAUUGAUAAAAUACUUUUAAUAUGACAUUGCUCUAACAUUUUUUAAAAGUGUUAUCUAUAACAAAAUUGACCCUUUUCUUUUAUGUAUAUAUAAUAAAAGAAAUGGUAAUAAUGAUAAUAAUAAAAAAUAAUUAUGUAGUUUCUUUUUUAUAAAUCAUAAAAACACAAAUUUAUUUCCUUCUUAAAUACAAGUGUGCAACCUAGCUUAAAUAGGUUUCUCUUUAAUUUAAAUAUUUCAUAAUCUUUUCUUAAAGAUAAUUAUGAAUUAAGUAGAAUUUUCUCAAUUUGAAUAUCUCUUUGAUUUUUUUUUUCAAAUUCUAGCUUGUCGUGAUUAAUUAUGAAUUAAGUAAAAUAUUUCUCAGGUAGGAAUAUUUUGUAAUAUUUCUCAAAAAUUAAUCAGGAAUUAAACGAAAUAUUUCGUAAUUUUUUUCAAAAUUAAUAUCGAAUUAAGUAGAAUAUGUUAUAGCUUUUUCUAACUCAAGUAGACUAUUUCUCGUUUGAAUAAACAUGUGUGAAUAAAUAAUUUUAAUAUAUAUAUUUUUUUAAAAUCAAACUUUUCACAAACUUAGUCACUUUUUCUUAGUUAGUAAAAACUGAUCUUUUGGUGAACCGUUUUAAAACAGACGCUCCUAAGUGUUUUAAAAACCUUCUUAGGGCGUUAACUGAACCCUUACUCCGUUUUUCUAAUUUCAAAGAUUCAUUUCUGUUUUUGAAUCUUUGAAAUUCCUUGAAGUUUUUUCUUGAUAUUUUUCUAUAAAAAUCAAGUGGCAACUCUCUAAAUUCUUAAAAAAUUAUUUCAAAAUUUUCUUGAUUUUUUUUAAAUAGUUUGAAAAGAUCAAAAUUAUUUUCUGUAAAAUAAAAUUCGAAAAGGGAUAAAACAGAAAUGACGACUCUGGUGGGGAAUUAUCUAGGUUCUAACCAAAAGGCAUUUUCUAACUUGUUGUGGCUAAUUAUUACGUGUUUAUUCGUUUAAAUUUCAUAUAAACUGUCAUUCCGUUCAUAAUUCUUCCAUUCGAGAAAAUUGACAUAGUCACACGUACACGUGAGGUGUGUUUUGUGCACCCGCAAACUUCUUUCAAAUUUCAAAUUUUAGAAGAGUUGGCGUAUGCGCGGUGUGUCUGGAUCUUUUUUUGUGUGACCGCAUAGCGUUCUUACUCGAGUUGUCCACUCUAAAAUCUUGUGUCAAGCAAGCCAAAUCUUAGAAGAACUUAAGAUAGAGUUUCCCCGAAUAUAGGUCAUGCAUGCAUAAGCCUUAGGUGGUUUGACUCAAGGUGUCAUUCCACACAUUUAGGAAAUGCCCUUAUGUCAAAUGGGUUUACGACCUAACGACAACAGCUCAUAUUAUGUGCAUGUAUAAUGAUAAAUGGAUCCAAGCCUAAUUAUGAUACUGCGAAUUUGGAAAAUAUGUACUUAUUUUGUUGUAUUUACUUGUAGGAUAAAUUUAGUUCCCUGAGUGCCCAAGAUUAGAAUGGUCGAAGGUGUUCCACACAAGUUGAGGAUAUGGUGGAAAAAUUUUAACCCGACUGAAAAAUUAGCGAUCACCAAGAAAUUGGGGUUCCUUCCUACACUCUUCAAGAUCUCCUCCGACAAAUACGUGAUUAGAGCGCUGAUUCAAUUUUGGGACCCUGAUUAAAUUGUCUUUACAUUCAAAGACUUUGAAGUCACCCCUACAUUAGAGAGAUCUAUUACUUCACUAAUAUGAAGUAUCAAGGGAGAGGUCAGAUCAUCUCGCAUAGUCAGCCAGUGAAGAAAUUUCUUCGCUACUCAGGAUUAAAGAACAUUGAUGAACUCUGUUGCUUCGAAAAUAAUUGGGUUUCUUUGGAUUAAUUGUACGAAAGAUACGAUCUUCAAGGUAGUUAUAAGCUAUUCAAGAAGGAGUUCGCUUACACUUUUACCCAUUGGCGGGUUAGACGUCCAAUUGUAUUUGUUGUUGCCUUGCUAGGGACUUUGGUAUUUCCACAAAAAUAUGGAAAGAUCAGUACUUUCGUAUGUUCUGUGGCUCGAGUACUUUUUAAAAGAGUUAAUGGCGUGGAAAUCACCUUGGUUCCUAUGAUCUUGGCGGAAGUAUUUCGCGCACUUGGAAAAGUGUAAAAGAGGUGAAACACAGUUCUUUAAAGGUUGCAAUCUCCUUCUGCAGAUGUGGGCAAAAGUGCAUUUCUACAAGCGUGACAAUAUGACUGACAUAAUGUUUAAUGCUUAACAUAAGAUUGACACUCAUGAUGACAGAAUGAGGAGGUUCGUUUCCCCGAUCGAUACCGGUGAUUUGUUUGAGUUCUUAGCCUCUCGUACCAGUGACCAAAUCUAGUGGAGAUAACCACUACUGUCAUGUUUCAUGGCUUACAUACGAUGCAGAGGGAUUUAUUAUAUUGAGCUUAUUAGAUUAAGAGUUCUACAACCAUAUGCCUCGGUGCAUGUACUCCGAUAGUUUGGUCAGACAUAGAUUAUCCCUCUCCGAGAAAAUAUGCGACUUUCGGAAGUCCUUUUUGGACUAGACUUCAGAAUUCCUAGGGCCAGUCAAAUUCUGCAUGAAUGGAGUAACAUUCUCACAAUAGAUGUGAGACACUGACCAACAUAGUGUAUUCCAAAAUACCAGGUAUGGGUUCGAGAAUAUUGUGGCGAUAUAAAACCUAGUUCAGAAGGGGAACAAGGUUUUGAGAAUGUUGGGAUGACUAUUUGGAUAAGACAUUUUUGUCUUGGAACCACAGUGGUCACGCCUGAAAUGUGGGCUCAAAUGUCCAACAUAAUGCAGUAUUUGGAAAAUAUAGGAGCGGGGCCCAGCAAUGUUGAGGCAUUAUCUUCACGUCCUCCACCGGAAUGAUCAGAAACGGGGUCUAGGCUAAGUUUUAGGACUGUCUUUUUCAUAUAUUUUUAUCUUGUUUCUUAUCGUUGUACUCGAUUAAUAUUUCAAUGAAACUUGGUUCCAAACUCAAAGUUUAUCUCAAAUUAAUGGCUUGGAUCAAUUUAUCAUAAUCUCAAUUACUUGACGCUAGGCCAAUCCUUGGCUCAAAAGGGCCACCCAACUAGGACACGCUAUUUACUAUUCUAUUAUUAUGUGAUAUAAUUAUCUUACGUGAUAUAACUGUUUAUGUGCUAUGUGCGUUGUUAAAUAAAAGGUAAAUUGAUCCAUUCCUCAACAAGUCCUUAGAAAAAUACUUUAGCCAAAAACAUACGUCUACUAUGUAAAGUCCAUCCAAAAUAUUCCAAGUCCCUAGGUUUCUCAAAAGCCCUUAACCAAUCUUCACUACAUUUUCUUUCAAACGCAUUUCUAUUCUGUCGGAAAAUCGGUCAUGGACUCAAGAAUUCUUUCUUAGUCGAACUAUGUAUGGCCCAAUUUCUUCUUUGUGAGAUACAUAGGCAGCCUUUUGGCCCGGCCUCUAUACUUUAAAAUUAUUAUAUCUCGUUUUACCGAGGAAAGUCGUACAAUUCCAAAAUCAGUAGAUUUGGCAAACAUCUUGUUAAGACCCAUUUAUUCAAAAUUUGAUGGACAAAGUCCUGCCCGUUAAUUUCUUUCGAGUCAAUACCCAUUCGUGGAUCAAUUUGCCUAAGAUGAAAGCAACGUUAUGUGCUUACUUUAUAUCAAAUAUCUUGCAUUUACUUGUCACUAAUGGUAUCUAACAUAUUUUCCUUUUGAGUUGUUUUUACUUUAAUAGGUAAUCAAGUAAGUAGAAAUUGAUUUGUAUUGACAAAAUUUAAUUGAACAUCAAUACUUCCAAGGCAGAUAAACAUUCCUUCCUUCAUUGUCACUUAAUUACUAAAGAGGAAGGAAUGACUAGUAAUAGUGAUGAAAAGUCAAAGAAAUUACUUUCGCUUUACCAGUCAUUUCCUAUAUCUGUAAAGCUACAAGUAAUGGUCUCAAAGAUAGGGAACUUGUUCAAAAAGUGGGAUGCUAUUAUAGAAGAUUGUCUUGAGAAGACCAAGAUCAAGAAAGAUGAAUUAGGGAAAAGAUGUCAAAUUGGACUUCCACUUCAAUCAUGACUCCCCGAUUGAUAUGGUAGAUGAAAGGAAGAGAUUUAGCUUUUGCAAAAUCGGUGGUUGUCUGAAUGAGGCUCGAGACCCACCCUUUAAGUUUUAUUUACCUUAUUUUCACUUUUUAUGUUUUUCAAAAGGCUCAAACCCACACUAGUAAUGAUCUUAUCCAGUGUCUGUAAUAUUUGAAAUUUCAAUAAAAGCCUCUCUUAUUAGAAAAAUAUUUUCACUUAUUUUGCUGCACUAUACGAUCAUUGUAAUCUAACUUAUGAUUUCAGCAAUAAUUUAAAAGCGGCCAAUGUCAUGUCAUGUCAAAAUCUAAAUAAAUGAAUCGAAGUAAAAUGAUAAUGAGUGAGAGGACUAUGAUGAGGAAACAAUGGCCCCAGACCGAUUAACAGAGGAACUAAAAGAUUUUGGGGAUCGAGAAAAUCCCAACCUAGAGGAAACUGAGGUAGUUAAUCUAGGUGAUGAUGGCGAAGUUAAAGAAACCAAAAUCAAUGUUCAUCUUGAAGAAGCACAGAAAAAAGAACUCAUUAGGUUGCUUAAAGAAUACAUUGAUAUAUUGGUUUGGUCUUAUGAUGACAUGCCAGGAUUGAGUACAAAUAUCGUAUCACACAAGUUGAUUCUAUGAAGCAAAAGUUACAAAAGUUUAAGCCAAAUCUAAGUCUGGAAAUCAUGGAAGAAGUCACUAAGAAGAUCCAAGCCAACGUGGUUGAGGUCACAAAAUAUCCAACAUGGCUAGCUAAUAUUGUUCCAGUACCUAAGAAAGAUGGAAAGGUCAGAAUUUGUGUCGAUUAUAGGGACUUGAACAAAGCCAGUCCUAAAGAUAACUUUCCAUUGUGUAAUAUCCACAUUCUCAUUGACAACUGUGCAAGUCAUGAAAUGGAGUCGUUCGUGGAUUGUUUUGCCGUCUAUCAUCAAAUAUUGAUGGAUGAAGAAAAUAUAGAGAAAACAGUUUUCAUCACACCUUAAGGUGUUUAUCACUAUAAGGUGAUGUCCUUUGGUCUCAAGAAUGUCGGUGCUACGUAUAUGAGAGUCAUGACGACCAUAUUUCAUGAUAUAAUCCAUGAGGAGAUUGAAAUAUACGCGGACGAUGUGAUCAUCAAGUCCCACAAACGUUCAAACUACUUGGCCCACUUGAGAAAGUUCUUUGAUCAGUAGCGAAAGUAUAAUUUAAAGCUGAACCCUGCUGAAUAUACUUUUGGGGUGCCGGCUGUGAAGUUGUCGGGUUUCAUAGUUAGUAGAAGGGGCAUUGAGCUUGACUCCUCAAAAAUUAAGGCAAUCCAGGAACUGCCUCCUCCGAAGACGAAGAAGAAAGUCAUGAGUUUCUUAGGGAGAUUAAAUUACAUCAAUAGGUUCAUAGCUUAGUCAACGGUUAUUUGUGAGCCAAUCCUCAAGAUGUUAAAGAAAGAUGCAACAAGUAAAUGUAUUGAGGAAUCCCAAAGAACUUUUGACAAGAUCAAGGAUUAUUUGUCUAGACCACCAGUACAAGUUCCUCUAAGAGAAGUAAGUCCUCUAUUAUUGUAUUUAUCGGUCUUUGAUAAUGAAUUUGGAUGUGUAGUAGGGCAACAUAAUGAAACUCGAAAGAAGGAAAGAGCAAUUUAGUACUUUAGUAAGAAGUUCACUCUGUACGAAGCUCGUUACACACUAUUGGAAAGAAUGUGUUGUGCAUUAACUUGGGUGACCAAGAAGUUGAGGCAUUACGUGACGUCAUAUACAACGUAUCUCAUCUCUAGUAUGGAUCCUCUAAAGUACAUAUUCCAAAGGUCAUGUACACUGGGAAAUUGGCCAAGUGGCAAAUGUUAUUGAGUGAGAUCGACAUUGUAUACGUGACUCAAAAGACAAUCAAAGGGCAGGUCCUAGCGGAUCAUUUAGCAGAAAAUCCAGUUGAUGAAGAGUAUGAGCCACUCCAAACUUAUUUCCCAGAUGACGAGGUACUGUUCGUAGGGGAAGACAUUGUUGAAAUAUACCCGGGCUGGAGAUUAUUCGUUGAUGGGGCGGUUAAUUUCAAAGGUUCAGGAAUUAGGGCGGUCUUAAUAUCAGAAACUGGUCAACAUUAUCCGGUUACCGCUAAGUUGUGCUUCCCUUGCAACAAUAAUAUAGCUGAAUAUGAGGCUUGUAUUCUCGGUCUCAGACUGGCUAUUAAUAUAACUAUUUGGGAGCUACUAGUCAUUGGAGAUUUUGAUCUAUUAGUUCACUAGGUUCGGGUUUAAUGGGUCGUUAAGAACCCUAAAAUCACGCCAUACGUGGAAUUGGUACAUGAGUUAUGCAAAAGAUUCAAGGGGUAGAAUUCAAGCAUGUUCCAAGAAUACAACAUGAGUUUGUCAAUGCUUUAACCACUAUAAAUUCCAUAAUUCAACAUCCAGAUAGAAGGUGGAUGGCCAAAGGUGGACCAAGCCAAUCAAUUCUAAUGUAGUAAAGAGAUUCUAUGUUUAACAUGAGGUUUCUUUGUGCUUAUUUUCUUGUAAUUGUUUUCUCAUCUAUAAUCGUUUUAUGUUUUGCAGUAGCUUUAAAAUCUUCUUUCCCUUGAUCUACGAACUACGUUUGACCUGAAUUCUUAAGAAGAGGAUUCGUAGGCGACCUAUGUCGGCUUCAGUCAACCCCUUAGAAAAUUUUAUUUAUGUUCUCUUGAACUAUGUGAUGACCUGAAUUCCCAAGGAUAGGAUACCUAGGCGGCCUUUGUCGGCUUUGGUCACCUCUCUACUUAUAUUUUAUUAUCUUCUACGUUAUGGGAACUACGUUUGACCGGAUUCCUGUUCAACAGGAUACGUAGUCGCCAUAACGGCUUGGCCAUAUCACCCCAAAAAAUGAAAACUAGGAAAGAAUUUUUCAGAAGGAAUCUCAAAAAUUCAAAAUAACAAGAUCAUUCUCUUGCAAGCCAAAUCAAAUUUUAAGAAAGACAUCAGUAACUAGGGCAAAAAUUUUGAGGCAGGCCUCAAAAUUUCCACCAUACUGUACUAAGGAGUUCAAAGAUGACAGUAAAAAUUUUGGUGUCAAAAGAGUAGAGUCGACUUCAUAGACCUUCAUCUAUAAAGGCUCAACGCUUUGAGCCAAGAAUGUUCAUUAAAGCCCGUAUAUGACAUGGCUUAUUAGAAAGAGACUCCUCCAGACUUAUAAAAAGAUUUUUGAAAAUUUAAUUAUUUGUAAAAGUACUUACUUCUAAUUAAUUUAUGCUCUGAUUUUGCCUUACACCCACCAACUCGGGGAGUUAAAGCAGGAGUUAAGAAAUGACAAACACAAGAAGAAGAUGAGAACCCGAUAAUGGCGAUGACAGGAGUUGAGGACUGAGAAAGUCCACACCGAUGAAUUUUAUCAAAAAUUAAUAAUUUUUCUUUGGAUGAAGGUUAUUCUGAAGCCAAAAAAAAAACCAAAAAAAGCAUAGAUUAUUCACCAUAUUCCUUUGGUUUAAAGGAAUACAAGAAAACCAAAUACCCCAAGGACGAUAAGAAAGAGCCAGAAUGGUCAAGGUAUGAAAACAGUUGAGUUUUCCAAAACUGACAGGUUUUCUGUGGUUGCAGGUGUUGACACCUAAUUUUUGCCCUCCACAACCCAAUUUAAUUGUGAGUUUCUUCAAUUUUAAAAUAAAAUCACAACAAUUAUUUUGUUCAAAUAAAUGCUAGUUUAAAUUACUUAUUCAAUUCAAUUUUAUCAUUUAAUUAACAAUUAUACAUUUUUCGCAUUUUAUAUACGAGAGUUUAUAAAUUUUGUUAUUUAAAUGAACAUUUUCAUUAAAAUUAGAUUUUUAUUGAUUAAAACUUGGAAAUUAAUUCAAAUGGAUAAAAUCUUAAUUUUAAAUAUGAUUUGCUCUCAAAACAUUUUAUUUGGAGGAAUAUUUGUUGGAUUCUUAUCAAAUUAAGAAACUCGAGGUUAAUUUGUUACUUGGUUCGUGCCAGAUUGCGAUUCAAUUUAGCGAACGAAUUAAAUAUGACCUCAAUUGAAAUUAAAUUGGCCUAAUUGUAAUGCAAUUUACCAAUAGAUAUUCAAUUUGGUUAGAAUUUAAAUAAGUCAUUUAAAUUGUAAUUCAAUCUUAAUCCCAAAAGUCACCAUUUCUUAAUUGAGAUUAUUUUAAUCUGAUUAAAUUUAAUUUGAGUUAUUCUUAAUCCAAUUAAAAUUAAUUAUGAUUAUUCUAAUUAAAUUUAAUUAGGGUUAUUUAAUAGCCCAAUUAGGUUUAAUAAGGGUUAUUAAAUAACCCCAAUUAAAGACCUAAAAUUCUCCCUACCCGGCCCAUUUUAUUAUCUUCUACAUUAAUAUUAACCCAGCAACCUGCCAAGACCAAACCCUCCAGCCCAAAUUCACACCAACCCGGCCCACACCAUUAAUACACUCUCCUUCACCUUAACAGCCAAACAAAACAACAACAACAAUACACAAUUUUCUACAUCUCCUAAAUGGUGACAAAAUCAAUAGUGAAAAUCCCCAAACAACAUUGCAAAUUUAGAAGCCAUCGACGAUCUACGACUAACCAAGGACCCGACUCCAAACGCUUUUCUCUCCUCUUUGUCCUCACGUGCUUCUCCACGCAUUUUGUACAAAGAAGGACACAGUCUUCUAGAAAUGCGCCUAGGUGUCUUUCCAAUGUUCAAAUUCUGCAAAUCUCGGGUACUAUGGUAUGAAUUCGUACAUGGGUAGAGAUUUCUCAUUGGUUAUUGGGGAGAAUUGCUUUCUAUUGGCUAAUCCAUUUUUGGAUUUCAUGAGAAACAAUGAAUUUGGUACAAAUUUGGGAUGAAAACCGAAGGGGAGGCGGAGGGGGAAUUGAAAAAAUUUCAAAAGUUCCUAUUUUAGAAUCCCUAAAAUACCCUCAAUACGUCUUCUAUAUAAGAAACGAUUGGGUCCUAUUUUUAGGACGAGAUUUUGGGGUCCGAAGAUCGGGGGAUUUUUUUUGAGCUCUAAGGUUCUAAGAGGGGAAAAAUUUUGGUCACUAUUUGGGGGGUUUUGUUUUCGGCUUGAGAGUUCUAUUAGGGUUGGAGAUUCUGGGGGUCGGGGUUAUUUUUCUUCUCUUCUUGGAGGGGUUCGAAAUUUGGUUUAGCAAAUUCUACGGUCUUCAUUCAGGAAAGACAGGAGCCGUCAGAGACAAGGUUUUCAAAAAGAAACUAAAGGAGAAUUUUUUAGGGUGGUUCAAAAUUUGGGUUGGGAGAUCUGAAAGCAAAGAGUUUAUUUUGCAAAAAUUUUCUCGUCCCUUCUUUCUGGAAAGCUAGUCGAUCAACUGGGAAUUCCCAAUUCAACAACAUUAACUCCCAGUGGUGACAAUUUUACUGAUAGAUCAAGUCCCAUUUUGCUGCUCCCUGAAAAGUAACAUCUUAUCCCUUUGAGUUCUUGAGUACUUCUUCUUCAUCUUGAUCUUCUACAGUCGUGAAUAAGUUUUCAAUAUGAUUGUAUGCUGGACUAUUCAUUGGUAGAUGACUUCAAUAGACGUAGGUAGAUAUUGGUAGAGUGUCGAGUUGAUACUUUUGUUUUGUGUAUUGUUGGUGGUUUGAAUAGCCUGAUUGCCUAGUUAAAGUGUGUCACUUUAAUCGUGUUUAAUAGUCUUAACUCGAGGUUGUUUGGUCGUAAUUGCUGAUUGACAGUGUUUUAUUUGAUAUUAUUAUUGAACGGAGCCUAAAUUGUCAAGCUAGAAGCUCUGCUAGUGGAGCUACGUCUCAAGUUUCUUUGGCUCCUCACAUGCCAAAAGGACGAGGAGCAGGCUCCAUAAUCUUAUUAGAAAGUCCCAGUUUCUCUUAAAGACCAUAUCGCUCGAAUCUGCUAGAAUAGCGAGGAGGUUUGGAAUAGUUAUCAUCCCUGCUGUAGUUUUACAGGGAUGUUGAAUAGUCUUAUUUUCCUCAUUUUUAUUUGGGCGUGUGUCCUUGAAUCUUUAAAAUGAAGUCUUAGUUUCUUCAUUGUUGUUAAUCUUAUAUUCCUUAAUUAGCGUCAUUUGAGAAAUCUUUGAAAUUAGUUUAGUCAGUUUGAAGCAAAUGUUUUGGAUAAACCUCUUUGGUUUACGGUGUCUAAGAGGUUUAACGAAAUGGAGAACUAAAAAUGAAAAUUUCAUGAUAUAUUUUUGUCUUUGAAAGUUCCUAAUUUGAAUCAUCUUAUGGGCAUUGUUAGGUCUUAGUGAGUAUCUUCUCUUCCCUUUCUUUGUUUGUUUGCUCUACCUCAUGAGAUUUUCAAUCUUUACUUUCCUCUAAUUACUUAUUGCUUCAGAGCAUUAUACCUUCGAUGACGUCGAGUUUUGGAGCCUUAUAUAGGUGUAUUGAGUGUUGUGUUGAAAUUGCUAAUUGCGAUAUGCGAAAAUCGGUUUUGCUAUUCAGAUAUUUGAUGUCCUUCUUUACAGUUUAAUUUUGUUUCAUUUUAUUAUAUUUUCAUUGUCUUGCUUUAGUGUUGUAGCUGUUGCAUAUUAAAAUGAUGUCUCAAGGAGUUUACUUUGCGGUGAUGGUUAGUGAAAACGACUCAAUAAAUAUUAAUGUUUUCAAUUGAUUUUUGAAUAAGUGAUCUAAUGUGCUAUCUUGUUGACUCGGAUAGACAAACUUAACCUAAUUUUGUCAUAAAUAAGGUGAAAUAAACUACACCGUGGCUUAUUUUUACCUUGACUUAUUCUCACCCUUGAUUUUUCUAUUCAGAUAUUCUUAGCCUUCACUCUUUAAAGUUUCUUGUUUUGAAAUUCUAAACAAGCAUUUAUUCUUUGCCGUUAUUGAAUUAUAUGCGAAUAUUUUGUCUUUGAAAGUUAUAGUCUUGCUAGACCUUCGUUUCAUAUAGUUUCAUCUUUGAUGGGUUAUAUUAUGUGGGUUAUGGAAUUUAUGAGUAAAUAAAGCAUGCCUAUUAUUUAGAAUGAUUUGUGACAUGAGUAGACCAAUUCUAAGUAAAAUGCCCCUCCCUAGCGUUACAUUGGGUUUGUUUUUUCAGUAUGUAUAUUCAUGAAUUCUCACCUUCUCUCCUGAUUCUAGAAUUUCUCUCUUGGUCAAAAACUUCAAUUUUUUUUUUGUCAGUUAUUUUAUUUUAUUCUAUUUAUUUUAUUUUAUUUAUUUGGUUUUAUUCAUGUGUAACUUGGCAUGUCAUUCUGUUAAGUUAAUCAGAGUGCUUGAGUCUUUCCCUUAAUUCUAUAAAUUGAUAAUUAAUCCCUAUUAUUUUCCUUGAUGCAUGUAAAAUAAAUUCGGUACCCCAAAUGGGUUCUCUUCCUAUUGCAUUUCAUGACUGGCCAAUGAGGCCUGCCUCCUCCGGUAGAUUAUUUUGAAGAAAGGAACCAAAAGAAGGAAAAAAUGAGUCAAAGUCCUAUGUUUGAAGCGGCUAAGAGACAAAAGUCUCAUUUAUUAUUUCAUUUUCGUGUAAUUAUUGUUUUCUUUAUUUAUUUUAUUUGUUUAUUUAUUUUAUUUAUUCAUUUGGGCCACGAAGCCAAGGUUGUAUUUAACAUAGGUGAAGCGAAAACUCGAGCCAAAGGGCUCGAAAACAUAGAAAUAGGACAGGUGAAAGGAGAAAUGGGUCGGAAGCCCAACUAGACUAGGAUAGGUCUCGUUGAUUUGGGCCCAAUGGCCUAAAUCCUUUACUUUCUCCUCCCUUCCCUUUUAUGUGUUUAUUUGUUUAUUAGCUUUGUUUAGACUCAGUUAAAAUCCCUACUAAGUCGCCUAAAUCUAUCUUACACAAGUUUUUUUUCUAAAAAACCAAUCACUUUUAAACAAAUUAAUCUUUUUAGUAGUUAAUCAAAAGACGUUUUCAAACAGUCCAGAUAACCGCAAGUUAGCGGACGUUUUAGGUGCCUAAUACCUUCCUAAAACGUUAAUAGGAACCACUUAUCUAGAAUCUCUAACUUAAAAUGAUUUUUUUGUUUUGAAUCGUUUGAAGUAAAAUAAAAAGGUUUCUUAAUUCCUUUUUAGAAUUAAGUUGCGACUCUCUUUCAAAAAUCGAAAUUUUUCACAAAACAACAGGUAUCAACAAACGUGGAAAGAAAAAUGACAACUUACUCACAUCCCCAGAAAAUCAAAGAUGGAUGUUUGAAAUGGUACAUGCAAAAGGUCCAACAUGCAAGUGGAAUGGUCAAAGUGAUGUUUUCUACAAUCGUUGCACGGCUAUUUGCAUUCCUCCUCAUAUUCCUACUACAUCAUAUCAUGCCGAAAGGGCCAUUCCAUAAGGGCCAUGCCGAGAGGGCCAUUCCAAAGGAUUGUGCCGUAAGUGUCAUGUCCUGAAAAUCAUAUUGCCUUCUCCGACUAGUUUCGAAGAGACAACAAUCCAAGGGCAUCUCCAUAUUGUAUUUGAUGCCCAUGAUUGAUUCAAUGUCUUCAAUAUCCAUUAAUUAUACAAAGGCAAAAGAGUCAAUUGUUGAAGGAUAUUAAGAAAAAAUUUCAUAUAUAUAUCUGAUAAUUAUGCGAAGACAAGAGAGUUUGGCAUUGAAGCAUAUUCUGAAGCAUUCAUACCUUAUCAAAUCACGCAAAGGCAAAGCGGUCUAGCGAUGAGAGAUAUCAUCAUCUCAAGUGCAUCCGUCAUCAAAGAUUUUACCGCAUUCAUUAUUGGAUCUCAAGAAACAUAUAUUUCGAAGGAUAUCUAUGCGUCGCUAUCCAAAAACGUGCGAUGUACUAGAGUUUUGUGAGAAUUGACUAUCCAAGGAUCAUCUAUAAGUCACAUUAUUUGAAAUAGGAUAGUGUACGAGAUUACCUAUAAGUUAAUAAAAUAUGGAUUAUCCGUAAGCUAAAACAACAUCCUAACAAAAUAGUGCGCAAGGUUACCAAAAGAUCGAUAAUUUAAAGGUUUCCCAUACGUCAUAACUAAAUCCUUACCGAAAAAUAUGCAAGAUUAUCGAAGGGUUACCCACGUCAUACAAAAUUAAUAGGUCCAAGGGUUCUCUAUAAACCGUGUUAUAUCCAAGAUCAAUUAUACGCAGGAUUACCCAAAGACUACCAGUUUAAAAGAUAUCUAUAAGCCAUAUUGUAUCCAAGGUCGGAUAAUGUGUAGGAAUAUCGGAGAGCUGACGAUUGGAGGGAUAUCUGUAAGUCAUCUGUUAUCCAAGGUCGAAUCAUGUGUAGGAUUACUCAAAGGAUAUCUAUAAGUUGCCUCAUAUCCAACAUCAAAUAAUUCGCAAGAUUAUCCAAAGAUUGACAAUUCAAGGGAAAUCUAUAAGUCGUAUUGAUACAAAAGAUACGCAAACUUACCCAAGGUCAAAUGAAAUGACCAUUGUCGAUAGCUGAAAAGUUUAUCAUUCCACAUAGGAGAGGCAUUCUAGGUAACCAAAAGAGUUACCACAUCAGCAUAAAAUUACGUGGUUGCAAGGGCUGCUCUAUACGUGUCGUCGGUACCCAAGAGGGCUACCCCACUUUGAAGGAUAUUUUCAAUCGUCAAGACAACUAUCAUUUCCAACAGUGAAAAUGUUGUUGUAUCAAUUAUCGAAAGAAUUUUUGCCCUCCCAAAUAGGUACAUUGGAGGAUGACGUUCUUUCAGGUAUCAACUCACGCGAAGAUAUAGUAAAAAACUAUAGAUCCCUUAGUGAAUUAUGUUUAUCACUAACAAUUUUAUUUGAGAUGUUGUUGAAAGAAUCUGAAAAGGAUGAAAUCUCAAACCAAAAUCAUAGGAGCGGAUGACUCCAAAAGCAUGCAGCACAACGUGAAGCUUUUUCUUAGUAGCGAACUGGGACAUAGUCCGAAAAGGAAUAUCAAACUCUUUAGACUCAAGCUAAGAGAUGACUUCCACCAUCAUCAAAUCACAUCCCUAUUAGAAGGCAUGUGGGAAUUUUUGGGAUUUUUGUUUCAGUUUCACUUUUGGAGUACUUCUAAACUCACACCAAGGGUAGCCUUCUAUUUCUUUUAAAUCAGAGUGACAACACACUCAGAGUUUGGAAAUUAUAUCCAAGUAAAUUGAUUCCCAUAGAUGUGAAGAGAUCCAUAUUCAUGGUCAAGAGGUUACAAACUUCUUUUUCGUAACUCAAUUGUCUAUCGCUCAUCCUGAGCCAAAGAUCGUCUACGCAUAGCAGACUAUCUUUUCCACCGUUCGAGUCAAACUACAUACAGUCUGACUCCCUGAGUCUCAGAGAUAUAUAGGCUGGACUCUAUAUUUAAAACUCGACAGCAUUUCAACCUCCCCCUGAUCCGCUUAUUUCCCAGCUUUCCAAUUUCACCAAAAUUCAAAAACCGAGAUAACUUGUGAAUUUCUCAAAAAUCAUGCUUAAAAUCAAGCUUUAUGAACUACAAGUGGCCUGAGUUCUCAUAUAACCUGAGAUAUGCUAGAAAGUUGAUACCGAGGUCCGGCCAUAACUCUAUGACCCUCUUUCAAAAAUGAAUUUAUGGUCGGACAAAAAUUAGGAAUGUCAAACUCGCUUUGCCCAGGGUUAAUUGCAUCCAUCCUACCCAAAGGGAGGGGAAGUUGUUGACACCUAAUUUUGCCCUCCACAACCAAGUUUAAUUUCAAGUUUGUUUGAUUUUAAAUAAUAUUACAAUAUUUAUUUUAUCCGAAUAAAAGCUUUACAAAGUAUUUAGCUAGAUAAUUUUGCCAUUUUAAGUAACAAUUAUACAUUUUUGUAUUCGUAAUUAUGAAAUUGUAUAAUUUUGUUCUUAAAUAAUUAUUUUACGAAAAAAUAGAUUUUAAUGGAAAGUUAUUUUGAAAAUUGAUUCAAAUGGUUAAAAUCUUGAUUUAAAUAUAAUUUACUCUAAAAAAUAAUUUGUUCGAAAAAAUAUUUGUUUGAUUGUUAUUAAAUCAAAAAGCUCCGAUUAAUUGGUUAUUAAAUUAUAUCACAUUAUGUUUUAAUUUAGCCAAUUUAUUAAAUUGGACCUUAAAUUGAAAUCAAUUCGAUCAUAAUUACAAUGCAAUUGGUCAAUUGAAUUUGAAUUAUACGAAGAUUUAAAUACAACUAUCUAAAUUUUAUUUGUUGGUUAUUUAAUAAAUAACCUGAAUCCCUAAAAAACCCUAGAUUCCUAAAUUCAGUCCCAAUUCCCCCUAAAACCCGCCCCAGGCCUAUUUGUUCAAUAAAACAGGCCUAAUACAACCUGCCAACCCAUUUCUUAAACCCAACAGCCUCAUUUACCCUAUUCUCAAUUAGACCACCAGCCCAAAAUUCUUGUUGACCCGACUCGAAUUUUAUUGUCUUCUUCAACAAAACAGAUGCACGUCAGUAAGCAUGAAGUAAGCAGAAACAACGUCCGUACACCAGCAACCAACAACAAAAAUUUCAACGCAACAUACAACAACUCCAGUGAACCAACUCCAAACUACUCCAAUUUCAACCCGUCAAAACCCAAAAUAGUAACAACCAAAGGCUACAACCUGACCCGACCUUCGUACAUUAAAAAUUCAGCGACAAAUCCCCUAAUCAUGAAAAAACCUCCCUCUCCAUCUUAUCUCUGUAAUUUUGCAGACCUAGAGCCAUCCUUUUUGACUUUAUGCUCGAGGUGUGUGUUUUCAAACUCAAAAUCCAAUCCAAAUCAGAAGAUGUCUAUUCAAAUCCAAAGUUUAGGGAUAUGUUUCUCUAUUUUUAAAGAUGAAAAAUUAAUAUCUUCCCCUAUAAAUAGGGAUUGAGGUGAAGAAGGCAGGAAGAAAAAAAGGCUUUUGGGGGAAAAUUAGGGGUUUUAAAGGCGCUUUCUUUUAACCUCACGUUAACAAAAUUAUCGAUGAACACACUUAGAAAACCGAAUUUUGGAAAAAAUGUUGAAGUCCGACGAGGCUAGUUGGCAUUCCGAUGGUAAAAGUCGCAACGUGAUAGGCUUGUUUGUAUCAUUCACUACCCAAAAAUAAGUGAACAUUUCACCCUCUCAUACCCUCUCUUUGUUAGCUAAUUAUUAUGACACAAAAUCUCAUUAAUGAUAGUGGAAUUUGGUUGUUGUUGAAGUAGUUGUCGUUGUGGAAUCUCAACACUUGGUGAGAGAUGGGAUUAUGUGCUAUAGAAGGCCCUCAUGGCCAUAGGAUUUUCAUGUUAUGUAGUGUUAAUUUUUACCUCGAUAGAUUAAGUUGAUAUUCUUGCUCUAGAUAUUUUGGCGCAUCAUUUUUCUUAGUGUAGGUUUUUAGCUCUUUAAACGCAUUGAUCCAUCUUGGUGUUUCUUUUCUAACAUUGAAGUUACUAUCAUUGUAGUGUAAGUACUGUUUUUCUACAAUUUGGAGCCUUUUUUGUAUGUGUGUUUUUUGUUUUCUUUAUCAUGCUCCUAUGAGUUUGUGUAGUUUGUGUUUUUUGGUUUGUUUGGCAACGAGGAAGUAAAGGAUUUUUGAAAACUUGAUUAAUACUGUUCUACACACUUUUUCUUAAAGCUACAAAUUCUGGUUAAAAUAAUUAUAUGUCUAAGCUAUUGAAAGUGAUUUCAUGUGAAUACAAAAUGCAAAGGCAUUCUACGUUGUAAAAACUCUUACAACAAUGGAGAAACCAUCGGAACCAAGGCCAUAGGAACCAACGCCACCGGAACCACUGGACCCAAUGACCAUUGAUAUCCCUACCACCAAUCCUCAAGAUACCCCAAAAGAUAGUUUCAAGGACAAACUUAUGAACAAAAACAGCAAUCUAAACAUGAGCUACAACUACACUAGUAAUAAAGUCGCAGUCGAUAGUACCAACAAGGGCCAAUCGAAACAGCUAUCUGAAGAAGAAAAGCUACGUAUUUAUCGCCCUUGGCAACACUCAGUCAUUGUAAAGCUGGUGAAUAAGCGAUUAACACAUAAUUAUCUGAGAAUCAAGUUGACGAAGCUUUGGAAGCCAACGGAACCACUCAUCUUGAUUGAUCUUGGAUGUGAUUUUUCUGUGGCAAAGUUCAGCAAACCAGAAAAUGCAAAAAAAGCCUUACAUGGUGGUCCCUAGUUCAUUACUGGAAAUUUUAUGUCGGUGCGACAAUGGGAAUCGAGUUUUGUACCCGAGGACGCACCCCAAAUCCACACUCCUACAGCUUCCAAUGGAAUUCUACGACCAAAGAGUGUUGGAGUUGAUAGGGUCGUCACUUGGAACAUUAUUAAAAAUUGACUUGUACACCUCACUGACCCUUCGAGGAAGAUAUGCCAGAAUUUGCAUUCAAGUACCCCUAGCGGUCCCCCUCAAGAAACAAGUUACCAUCUGUAAUCAUACCCAAGGGGAUGGGCUUCUCUGCACAUCCUGUAGACGAUUGGAACACCAAGCAAAACACUAUACCCACAAUACCAAUAAAUCAACCAUAGACAAAGAAUUACCAAGCACCAGCAAGUUCCCAGAAGAAGAAGAUCAACAACAAUGGCACAUCAUUUUCUUCCCCAAAAGAAAACACAGAGUGAAUAGAGGACCAAGCAGUAACGGAAAAUCAUCACCUUUGAUAGCUUACCCACAUCAGGUAAGGAUGACGACAGGCAUCCCAGGUAAACUCCCAUGCCCUGAACAGUUCCCUCCCAACACUAAGGACAGUGCUCCAUCCUUGGGGAAAACCAUCACAGUUAAGAAGUUGUCUCCACCACCAACAAAAAAUGGAAAAGCAAAAUGGGCUUAUAGGUCAUCCCACGCGCCUGCAAGAGCUACUGAAAAUACUCAUAUUCCUAAAGUCAAACUUGCACACCACACACCUGCACAGGCUAUUAAUAACUCCAACUACUCACUUCCUUCUCUUAACUUAGAGAAAACAUCCCCUCCAUCUAAUAAAUUUAGAGGCCCACCAAGGGCCACACCUCUCAUCACCAUUAAUUCUUCUCCAACGGAGGCUACCGCCUCUGCAUUUUUUGGGAUGUUUAACGCUGUUCAAUAUAGAGGUAAUCAUUAUAUAGAGCUAAUUGACAUGAACUUGCCGGUCAUGUGCAUUAACUCAACUCCCCAUAUUAGUGGUGACAAUUCACGAUUACCCUUAACAACACCCAAAAAUACUCUAAACACAUAACUGAUACCAAUGGCCUCCCAACCACCGUUGAAGGAACUACUAGUCUUUGCCUCAGCACCACACCCUCCGAACAGGAUCCCAAUAUCUUGGGCAGAGCUGGUAAUGAAGGGAAGACCAUAUCACAUUAUGUCAUAAUCGGGGAUCAACCCAUUGUACUAAUGAUUCAAGACCCAGCCUGGAUGGCUCAAAUAAUCAAGGAUGGGGUGGAUCACAUAGUGCAAGGCCUAGGUUAUCAGGUAUGGACCUAAACCUUGAUGUAAGCUCAGAGGUUGGGCACUCUCAAUAUCAUGAACUCGCACGAGUUCAACUCACUCAUGACUCAUAUGUUCAAACACUUACCUUACUACCCAGAGAGCCCCUACCUGUCGAGCUUGGACAUACUAAUAUUUGUACCUUGGACAUCAUCAGACCACCAUGUCUCUACCAACCAAACCAAUGCUCAGACUAACAAUACACAAACAGAGGUAGAAGACCAAAGAGAAACACAAACCUCAAUUCUGGAAGAGAUUCAAAGGUCAAACGCGGAAAUAGAGCAACUCUUGGAAACCUUAGGGGAUCCACCAACAGAGUUUUUCACGCUAGGAAGGCUACUUCAAACAGAUUUCAAACAGCCCUUCAGCACAGUUACUAUAGUAGUCUGUCUGAGGGAGAUGAAAACAUUCAAGUUAAUCUUGAGGAACAUGACCAACCUUACCCCAACAGCUGUCUACCUGAGCCCAUAUUUGGACAAGGAACAGCAAGCCAGGACGGUCAAAGAGAAGAACCCAUUGCUGAACCACCCCAUACCUCCAACUAAUUCAAUAAACUUCAUUAUUUGGAAUACUAGGGGUGCUAACAGUCCGGCUUUUAAGCUUCACUGCGAUGCCCUAAUCAAAAUGCAUAGACUAGCCGUUAUUGUUCUUUUAGAAACAAAAAUAGUUGACCACACCAAUCUCACUGAGAUGUUUGGUUAUGACUCUUACAUGGAGUUAAGUGUUGAUGGUUGUAAGAGAGGUAUAGUAAUCAUAUGGAAGGAAAAUGCUCAAAUUAUAGAACUUCUCAACAUCCCCCCAGGGUAUCCAUACCAUCAUCAAGUUAAACUCUAAUCCCAGCCCUUGGCUCUUCUCUGCUAUUUAUCCUAGUCUAAACCACAAUCUUAGAACCACCCUUUGGGAGGAAUUGUGUUAAAUUUCCUUGAACUACAAAGGGGAUUGGUUGAUUGGUGGGGACUUUAACGAGGUCUUUAAAGCAAAUGAGAAACUUGGAGGGGCCCCCAUUAAUAACAAUAGAGUUAGUCAGUUCUGGGAUUGCUUAAACCUUUGCAAUAUGAUUGACCUAGGCUUUAGGGGUUGUAAGUAUACUUGGACUAAUAUGAGGCAUCGAAAUAGACAGGUCCUUAACCAGGAAAGGUUAGAUAGAUGUGUUGCCAAUGAAUCUUGGAUAAGAUAUUUCCCUGAGGGUUUGGUAACACACCUUCCCAGAACCAAGUCUGAUCACUGUCCCCUUCUCUUAGGUUUGAGCCCAUGUGGUGUAAUCAUGACUCUUUUCCAAAUCUGGUAAAGCACUGUUUUAACAAUAACUCAAAUCUUCACCAAGAUAUCACCUCCUUUUAGCACUAGGCUUCCCAAUUAAACCACCGGGUGUUUGGAAAUAUUUUUACCAAGAUGCGAAUUAUUAGGUCUAGACUUGAUGGUAUCCAAAAAUCCAGGGCCUACCAUACUAGUAACUUCUUGAAAAACCUGGAAAAUGAGUUGAUGUUUGAGCUAGACUCUAUUAUUAAGUGUGAGAAGGAUUUUUGGAAAACAAAGUCUAGGAUUACGUGGCUCAAUCAGGGUGAUGCAAACACCUCCUUUUUUCAUGCAUCAACUCUUAAUAGAAGAAGUAGGAACACUAUAAAUGAACUAUGCAUGAGGUAGGCAAUGUGUAUAGAGGAGAUGAUGUCAUUUUGGCACAUGGGCUACAACACUUCACCAAUAUAUACACAUCCAGCCACACUCAGUGCCCCAACUCUCAUUUUACUCCUACUUGUGACUCCAAUGAAUCUCUAAGGAUUUGAAAAGAUCCCUAGCUGCACCCCUUAGAGAUACUGAAAUCCUCCUGGCUAUCAAAUCCUUUAAGCCCAUGAAAGAUCAUGGGCCUGAUGGACUUUAUCCUCUCUUCUAUCAAAAGUUCUGGCCUGACAUUGGUCAAAAGACCAUAGUGUUCUACAAGAAAGUCUUUAACAAAAACAUCAUGCCUNNNNNNNNNNNNNNNNNNNNNNNNNNNNNNNNNNNNNNNNNNCUGCUGAACACAACACCACUCUCAUUUGAUUGGUUCCAAAAUAUAGGAAUGUCUCCAAAAUCUUUAGACCAAUUGGGCUCUGCAACACUAGCUACAAGAUUGUCACCAAGAUCAUUGCCAAUAGAAUAAAACUCAUCCUUCAAAGCAUCAUCAGCCCCACCCAAGCUAGUUUCCUUGCCAAUACAAGGGUUUCUGAUCAAGCUAUCAUAAUUUAAGAGUAUAUCACUCACUUCAAAAAAAUGAAGGGGAACAAGGCCAAUAUGAUUCUUAAGAUAGACCUAGAAAAAGCUUUUGACAAACUGAAAUGGUCCUUUAUAAAAGAUACCCUUCUAUUUUUUGGUAUUCCUGAUAACCUUGCCAGACUCAUUCUUUCAUGCAUCACUUCUUCCUCUAUUGCUAUCUUGGUUAAUGGCAGAAGAACUAAUUUCUUCAAUCCAUUAAGAGGCAUCAGGUAGGGGGACCUCUUUCCCCAUAUAUUUUUAUCAUGUGUAUGGAAAGACUUUUAAGGGGGAUAGAGGUUGAGGUUAGAGAAAAGAACUAAACCCCCAUUAGUAUCUCUCCCAAAGGUCCUAAGCCUUCUCACUUAUUCUUUGCAGAUGACCUCACCCUCUUGGCUAGAGCAAACACCAAAAAUCGCCACACCAUUGCCAGAAUUCUCUAAAUCGUCUCCAUUCUUUCUGGCCAAACCAUCAAUAGUCAGAAGUCUAAGAAUAUCUACUCUGCUAACUGUACUCCCCAAGUAAUAAGCCGUUGUACUCAGAUUCUUAACAUCCAGCCCAGCCAAUAUUUUGGCAAAUAUCUUGGUUACCCUAUCUUCUCCUGCAAGCCCAAGAAUAGUGACUUUCAGUUUAUUAUAGAUAGCAUGAACUCUAGGCUAGCAGGGGAAAAACUAAACUUUUGAACAUGACUGGUAGGUUUGUCCUAGCCAAAUCAACUCUUGCUAUAAUGCCUAACCAUCUGAUGUAUUACAUCAGAAUCCCCAGCAAAAUUACUAAAACAAUCAACAAAAUCCAAAGAGACUUUGUUUGGGGGAACAACAAUGACAAAAAGAAGCUUUACCUCAUUAACUGGGACACCUUGACUACAAACAAGAAAUUUGGAGGCCUGGGACUCCACAAAACUGAACUCAGAAAUAGAGCUCUCCAUGCUGGCCUGGCAUGGAGACUGUUUCAUCAACCAACAAGCCUUUGGGGUCAAAUGCUUCUUGCUAAAUACUAUAAGCCUAACAGCCAAAACCCUUCAAAAAAACCCUCCUCUAGAACCUGGAAAAAUAUCAAAAGGGGGUGGAAAGACUGUCUUUUAGGCAUUAAAUGGAGAAUUAACAGGGCAGAUAGGGUGAACUUUUACCAAGAUUCCUGGAUUCCUCAACUUAAUAGUUUAAACAGUAUUCUUCAGGACCCCUUAAACAGGCAGGACCUGAACACCAUUGUUAAAGACAUCCUGGUAGGGGGAAUUGGGAUUUAAAUAAACUCUCUUUUGAAAUUCCCAUAUCUAUCCAAGAUAUCAUUCUCAACCAUAAUGUCACCCUAAAGGAAAACAUUGAUGACAAAGUUCUUUGGAAUCUCAGUACUACUGGAACCUUCACAACUGGCACCAUGUAUUCUUGUCUCAACUCCCAAAAUACCAGCAAUUUUGCAGACAAAAACUUCAGCAUAAUCUGGAAAGCUGAAGCUCCCAACAAAACCAAAACUUUCCUCUGGCUCCUUAUGCAUGGAAGGCUUCCCACUAGUAGCUAUCUUCAACAUAUUGGUAUCAAUGUCCCCCCCUCCAUUGCUAUUUCUGCAACCACAAUAAGGAAGGCACAACCCACAUUUUCUUUCUCUGUACUAAUGCCAACCAAUUCUAGGAGAUCCUUAUCCAAAUAAGUACUUACAAACCCCUACUUCCUGGGAGUACUGCUGAUUAUACCAAUUAGAAUAUAGGGUGGGAGAGCAUGUGCUCCAAACCUUUCAACUCUUAGCUAAUGUGGGGCACCAUCUUACCUCACUUGAUAACGCUCAAUCUACAGCUCUCGUGGGAGUGUAAAGCGGUCGUUAGCAAAUAUAGAACCCAACCUGGGUUGGGUAUCGAUCCCACAGAGAAUAGCUUGGCCAACAAGCAAGAGAAAUUACUAGACUUUUAGUGCAAGUCUCGUAGGAAAGGGGGGAUUGUAGUAUGUAACCAAAACAAGAAUGUAAGAACUGAAAAUAGCAAAAUAAAGAGAGAUUGUCACGUGUGUUGUAAACAAUGAGAAUUGAGGCGUUGGGGUUAUGUCCACCUUCUGAGGUAUACGUCUCUAUUGGCUAUGAGUGUGUAGAGUCUUGACAUGUAAUUGCUUAUAGAGAAUUGUAGUCGAUGGUAAAUCCAAGCGUCUCUCGACCUAAACAAGGACUAUUUCACUUUAACUCUCUCGAGCUUAAAGCGUGACUAACGGUACGAAUUCUCCAAGAAGUUAGUCCAGGUACGGCACUAGCUUUUUAAUAGGAAAGGGUGUCCUACUACCUUGACAUUAUCUCUUUUCCAGACAAAUAACUUUUCUCUCGAACAAGUCAGAUGUUAGACUGGCGUUGGUCUAUGCGUCUUCUUUUCUAGACAAAUAACCUUUCUCUCGAACAGGUUAGAUGUUAGAAUGGCGUGUUCUUGUGUUUGAACCGCAAAGAAUGUAGAUUUAAGAUGAAGAGAAUAAUGAUAUAAGCAAUAUACUUGUCUUGAACUCACAAACUCAUAGCUAUAGAUAGUAACUCAUUCGGCUUCCAUAACCCCAACUAAGAGAUUUAGUUACCCAUGAAUGCGAAGGAUAUCACGCUUUGCAUGGUGGAUGGCGUGAAUAGUAGGUGUUUGGCGUGUGGUUUUAGUGAUUCCGUAGCAAGUAACGAUUCUCUUGUUGUGGAAUUUAAGAGUAGAAGAAUGAAGAAUUGAGAAUGGGUUGUAGGAAGAUGUCUUAAUUGUAAGGAGAUGAAUGAAUUGUCAGAAUGUCUCCCUUCUUGAAAAUCUCUAACAUGAUAGGGUAUUUAUAAUACUCCUAUCCUACUCCUACUAAACUAAUAAAAUAAAUAACCAAAUCCUAAUAUACUAAUGAAAUCCUUGACCCAAUUGUACUAGGGUAAGGUUACAAAAUUAUAAUCCAAAUAGAAUGAUGAAACACAUAACCUAAUUGCACUAGGUUAAUGUAUUAUGGCAAAAAUCCAGCUUUGUGUCUGUAAGUCCCAAAGUCUUCAGAAAUGCUGUUUUAGCCCGGGACAGAUUUUCCAUGCAGCAGAUUUAGUCCUUUAUGCGUCCAGCUCCUUUCCAUCUCGUUUGUGAGCUUUCUUUUGCGUCAAGUAAGCCAUAAAUUGCUGUAUUUUGCAUCAUUUAUACCUGAAACUUUCCUAAUCACAUUUGUUAGCUCAUUUACAGGAAAAAGGACUAAAAGUGUACGAAAUAGAUAAUUAGUUCUCGAAACUAGGCUAAAAUAUGGGCAAAAUAUAUUGAUAUAGGCGCGUAAUUUCGCCUAUCAUCAACUUCCUAAGGAAAUCUGGCUCACCAGGAAUGACAAUCUUUUCAAUAAUAAGCAUAAUCUAGCCAACAAUGAUAAAGUUAUUUCAAAUGCCACUGAGUUUGUCAUGCUUUUCAAAUCAAACUCGAACCUCACUCACACUCAACAUACCAUCGGCAUUGGGGGGAACCCCCUCAAUUAGGAACCAUAAAGAUAAAUAUCGAUGGUUCUGCGAAAGGAAAUCCUAGGCCUGGAGGAUUGGGUGGGGUUUUUAGAGACCAUACUAGGGGUUGGAUCUUGGGAUUCUACCAACACCUCCUACACACAAAACUUGUUAUAGCUGAUAUCCAAGCCAUUAACUGGGGACUCCGGCUGGCUAAAGAUCACAAUAUUCUUAACUUUGAAAUUGAAUCUGACUCAGCGACUGCUAUUAAAAUCCUUCAAAAGGAUCACCCUUUAUAUCAUAACCUUGUUUCUGAGUGCAGGACAUUAAUGAUCGGCCUGGGAGCAGCGCUCCUCACACACAUUUUCAGAGAGCAAAAUAGAGUAGUGGAUCGACUAGCUAAGAAAGGGUCAAACAUACAAUUCACGAAAAAGUCAAUCUCUCCAUCAAUGCCACCUUCUUUUGUAUUAAGCUGUGUCCAAGAUGAUAUCACUGGAUAAACUUUUACACGUCUAGUUAAACAUUGUUUUUUGGGUCCCUUAAUGACCAAUGGAAACAAUUCAUCAUACCCACAGGAUUGGGUUGUGGCCCUGACUAACUCUUUUAUUACUCCUUAAGAUGAAAGGAGUGCCAACCCCUCCUCCCCACUAACCUUAAUAGAACAACUUCUCUUCUUGACAAAAAAAGAAAUAAAGUGAUUUCAUGUGUAAAUUCUUCAUUUACACAAAAUGUUGUAUUAAUAGAAGUAGCUAGCGGGUCCCAAUGUACAGGAGUUCCCAAGGCAAUUUAAAAAAAUAAUAAAAUUUCAUAUACUCCUAAAGAUACUAAUCAACCUUUCAAAGUUAAAUUAAAACACGUGGCUUAAUCAAUCAAAAUGAUGAUUCCUACUUCAUAAUAUGUUAAAUUAUAUAGCUUAGUGUUAUUUUUCAAUGUUUUCGGGUACACAAUCUGUAUUUCGGCAAACAAAAACUUCAACACAAGUUUAAGUCUAAAACAAGAAUACCUAUGAAGCUACACAACACCUUUAACACAAGAUUAAAAAUAAUUUAUCCAAGAAGUGUGUUAUUAUUUCAAAAAUAAGAUGAAACAGAAAUUUAAAGUCAAGUCCCCCGACUUCACGGAGUGUUUAUGCUAUCAAAAAAUCAUCUCUAUAACUUAGGAAUAAGUCAGGUAUUUAUAGCCUUAAGGUUUUCCUUCAGAAAGGAAGUAUUGGUUCAGCAAAAAGGCACUUAUUCAAUAUAGUCAUGUCAUCUACGCCCAGUCUGUGCUGGACCUGCUCUGAUCUGCGGCUGUAGGUGACACUGUCCGAAUUCCGGUAAGUACCUAUGCUAUACUUGCAGCUGCAAGUUAUCGAGGUACGUGCAUAGAUCACCCCAUUGCACAAAAUAGUGUGCCUUUUACCUUGAAGGGUCGCAUCCCUUCGAGGUGCGUUGUGCCUGCGUUUGCAUGGCAUCCGAAAUGCACCCGCACAUGAAAAAAAUAUUUCUAUCAGAUUUUUUGGAUUAAAAUUUCACUUGUUCAUCAAGUUUCAAAUAAAUUUUGUCUAAAAAAUAGAUCUCAUCGAUCGAUCAUUUGAAAAAUCCAAAUCUAAAGCCGAAUUCGAGCCGAGCGAGCGACGAUGAUGAUGGUAUGAGGCACCACCUUGUUCUUACCUCACUAUCCAUGUGGAGAUGUGUUUCUAAUAUAAACACAUGAAGGUUUCUUACUCCCACCAAUGGGGGAGAAUUUAGUAAGCUUUCUAUAAAAGAGUACACUUUCUAUUUUAGUGAUUCUCUUUUCCUCAACUAUUUUUUCCUUCAUUUUCUAUUCAUACAUACACCUUGAAUCCAACAAUCCCCCACAUGAAUAGGGAAUGGCUAUCUUUUUGAAGAAUUUACAAACAAGCAUGUGAUUAUUUAGCAAAGACUGAUUGCAUCUGGAUAAGUGGUUUCCCUUUGAACUUUUCAUAGUGAACAUGCAUUGGAUGUACUCGGUCAAUCAGUAGAUUUGAUAUCUUUAAACCAUCGAGCUUUAAUGUACACCUAGAUAACACAUGUCAUACAACCAGCCUUUUACCAUUUAUGGUUCUCACAAUUUUGUUCUUUUCAGCCAUGAACACGUCCCUAUUUCAUGAGAGCUCAGAGAAUAGGCCUUUACUAACAUUCUUCUUGAAGCGGCUUCCAUUUUGCCCUCAUAUGGGUAAUUUCUAAAUGUUCAAUCCUAUAGAUUAAACUAUUUGGUCAAAUCUGCUAAUUUUAGAUAAUCAUUAAAAGACUUCACACUAUAAGUCUUAUCCUCAUUUACUAAUAUUGUUUAUAUCAUAAGAAUGGGUUGGGUAUAAUGACAAUGUUGAACCUGCCAGACACAACUUUGUUUGAUCUCUUUGAACCUAGUUCUUGGGAUCUCCAGCCUGCUAGGUAGAGUUAUCGUCGUGCUGACUCAUCCUAUGCCUUAAACUCAUUCCCUUGGAUGUCCUCUCAACUUCUUCUAUAGACAGGCUUUUUGUAAGUGGAUCUAACACAUUAUCCUUUGACUUUACAUAGUCCAUAGUGAUAAUUCCACUAGAGAGAAUUUCACUAAUGGUAUUAUAUCUCCAUCUUAUGUGAUGAGAUUUACCAUUGUACAUCAUGCUCUCUGCCCUACCUAUUGUCGCUUGGCUAUCACAGUGUAUAUAUACUGGUGGCACUGGUUUGGGCCAAUAAGGAAUAUCUUCUAAGAGCUUUCGGAGCCAUUCUGCUUUUUCAUCGAUUUUAUCCAACGUGAUAAAUUCAUAUUCCAUCGUAGAACGAGCAAUACAUGUCUGUUUGGAUGAUUUCCAAGAGACCACUCCUCCACCAAUAGUAAAUACAUAUCCACUCGUGGAUUUUACUUUGUUUGAUCUGAUGAUUCAAUUUGCAUCACUAUGUCCUUCAAGUACCGUAGGAUAUUUAUUAUACUGCAAACCAUAGUCUUGAGUGUACUUAAGAUACCCCAAAACUCUUUUCAUUGUCAUCCAAUGAGUUUUGUUAGGAUUACUCGUAUACCGACUUAACUUACUAAUAUCGCAUGCUAUGUCUGGUCGUGUACAAUUCAUUAUAUAUAUUGAGCAUCCCAAUACUCUUGUGUACUCCAAUUUUGAGUCACUUUCACCUUCAUUCUUUCAAAGUACGAAGCUCACAUCCAGUGGAGUCUUGGCAAUACCAAAUUCUAAAUACUUGAAUUUUUCAAGUACCUUUUCAAUGUAAUGAGACCGUGAUAAUGCCAACCCUUGUGGAUUUCUAUGAAUUCUCCUUCCUAAGAUCACAUCUGCAACUCCAAGGUCUUUCAUAUCAAAAUUGCUCUCGAGCAUUUGUUUUGUAGCAUUUAUGUCAGAAAUGUCUCUACUGAUGAUCAACAUAUCAUCCACAUAUAAACAAACAAUGAUUUGGUGAUUUGGAGUGUCUUUAAUGUAAACACAUUUAUCACAUUCAUUUAUCUUGAACCCAUUUGCCAACAUGGUUUGGUCAAACUUCGCAUGUCAUUGUUUAAGUGCUUGUUUUAGUCCAUAAAGUGACUUAACAAGUUUACACACCUUAUUUUCUUUUUCUAGAACCAUAAAACCCUUAGGCUAUUUCAUGUAAAUUUCUUCUUCCAAUUCUACAUUUAGGAAUAUUGUUUUCACAUCCAUUUGAUGGAUUUCAAGACCAUAUACCGCCGCCAAGGCAAUUAAUAUCCAAAUUGACGUUUUCCUCAUUACUGGCGAGUAUGUAUCAAAGUAAUCAAGGUCUUCCUUUUGUUUAAAGCCUUUUACAAUAAGUCUUGCCUUGUAUUUGUCAAUAGAACUAUCAACUUUUAUUUUUCUUUUGAAGAUCCAUUUAGAACCUAAAGGUUUAUUUCCUGGAGGAAGAUCAACAAACUCCCACGUAUGGUUGCUUAAGAUUGAAUUAAUCUCACUAUCGACUGCCUCUUUCCAAAAAGAUGAGUCCGAAGACGUCAUCGCUUCUUUAAAUAUUUGAGGCUCAUUUUCUAAGAGAAAUGUUACAAAAUCCGAUCCAAACGAAGUUGACAUUCUUUGACGUGUUCUACAUCUUGGAUUCUCAUCAUUAUGUGCAUCCUCACUUGGUUUAUUUUGAGGUCGUUUAGACCCCCCACUAGACUAUUCAUGUCUAGUUUUAUACAAAUAAAUGUGUUCAAAGAAUUUAAUAUUAUCUAAUUCAAUUACCAUAUUUUCAUUGAUAUCCAAAUAUUCGAAUUUAUGAACCAAAAACUGACAUGUUUUGCUACUUUUAGCAUAUCCUAUGAACACGCAGUCCACCAUCUUAGGUCCUAUCCUUUCUCUUUUAGGCAUAGGAACUUAGACCUUCGCUAGACAACCCCACACCUUAAAAUAUUUUAAGUUGGGUUUCCUUCCUUUUUAUUUUCAUAUGAAAUUGAUUGUGUCUUACUAUGGGGCACUCUAUUGAGUAUUCGGUUAGCCGUAAGGAUAGCUUCCUCCCACAAGUUUUGCGGCAAACCUGAACUUAUUAGUAAGAUAUUCAUCAUUUUCUUCAAGGUUUGGUUUUUUCUUUCUGCAAUUCCAUUAGAUUGAGGUGAAUACGGGGUUGUAGUUUGAUGGAAAAUUCCAUUCUCUACACAUAUUUGUGCAAAGGGAGAUUCAUAUUCGCCGCCCCUAUCACUUCUUAUCAUUUUGAUCUUUUUCUCUAACUGAUUUUCAACUUCAGUUUUAUAUUUCCUAAAUGCAUCUAUUGCUUCAUCCUUACUAUUUAGCAAAUAGACAUAACAGUAUCUAGUGCAAUCAUUAAUAAAAAUUAUAAAAUACUUUUUUUCACCACGAGAUGGUGUUGACUUCAUAUCACAAAUGUCAUUAUUGAUUAAGUCUAAGGGACUAAAAUUCCUUUCAACAGACAUAUACGAAUGCUUAGCAUACUUUGAUUCCACACACCUCUGGAGCUUCCUCAAAUGUGAACCUUUGAAGACAAAGAGUUGUAAAGUAGAAAAAUAUUUUUUUGCUGCCAUCUUUUGAAGUCAAUACCCGCAAACUUCUCGGGUUUCUCCGCUGGUGCCAUUGCCGGCAAAACAUUCAUACGUCUUUUUGUGGUAACACUAGUUGCUUCCACAGUCGUUGCGACAUCAUGCACUUGACUAUCUGUGGUCAUUUUCCUGUCACAAAAAGACAGUAACAUUUUAGUAUAUCAAAAUACUAUUAAUAAAGUUUCUGCAACUUUAAACACCUCUUGUUUCUAGUUUAACGAUAAAGUUUUUAUGACUGUCAAUCGGCAAUCGAGUGGUCUUUAACUUGUGAUGAAGAUUUAUGUCUUCAAAUCACUAGUUAAGUUCUAACGGAGUAGAAAGCUUAAAGAUUUAAUCUCCAAAAAUCAAGCUAUACAGAUUUCGAAUUAUUCCUUCAGAUUGUUAUUUUUCAAUAUUUCGAGUACACAAAUCUGUAUUUAGGCACACAAUAACUUCAACACAAAUUCAAGUCUAAAACAAGAACAACUAUGAAGUUACACAACACCUUCAAUAUAAGAUUAAAAAUAUUCUAUCCAAGAAGUGUGUUAUUAUUUCAGAAAUAAGAUGAAACAGAAAUUUAAAGUCAAGUCCUCCCACUUCACAGAGUGUUUAUGCUAUCAAAAUAUCAUCUCUAUACCUGAGGAAUAUGUCAGGUAUUUAUAGCCUUAAGGUUUUCCUUCGGAAAGGAAGCAUUGGUUUAGCAAAAAUACACCUAUUCAGUACAGUCAUGUCAUCUACACCUAGUCUGUGCUGGACCUGACACUGUCCGAAUUUCAGUAAGUACCUGUGUUGCACCUGCGGCCGCAGGUUACCGAGGUGCGUGCACAGAUCGCCCCAUUGCGCUAAACAAUGUGUCUUUUACCUCAAAGGAUCGUAUCCCUUCGAGGUGCGACCGAAUCUGAAUAGAUCUCAUCGAUCGAUCCUUUUCCAAAAUCAAAGUCGAGCGAGCAACAACGAUGACGGCGCGAGGCACUAACUUGUUCUUGUCUCACUAUCCAUGUGGAGAUGUGUUUCUCAAUAUAAACACAUGAAAGCUUCUUUCUCCCACCAAUGUGGGAGAAUUUAGUAAGCUUUUCAUAAAAUAGUACACUUUCCAUUAUAGUGUCUCUUUUUUCCUCCACUAUUUUUCCCUCCAUUUUUCAUUCAUAUAUACACCUUGAACCCAACACUUAGCACACCUUAUUUGCUAAUCUUCAUUCUAUGUUUUAAAGUUUGUUAAGUGUUUAUUUGCCAUCCAUAUUCCCUUUCAUUAUUGGUAUCAAGUACAUUACCAGCGUUCAAACACUAAAAGAUCUAAGCUCUAGAUAUUAAUUAUUUAAUGUUGUCUAAAGAAUUUGACUAGAUAUUACUUAUUUAAUAUGUUGCCUAGGAAUUUGACUAUUUGGAUAUAUUCUCAUUCUUUUUUCCUUCUGUGUGUGUGCAUGAACUCCUCCGUCGAGUCCCUCGGACUCCCUUCUCUCGCAUUCUGUUGGGUUAAACAUAACUCGCAUCGAGUCAAGACCCGUACCAAAUCCAAAAUGGACUAAUGCAUGAAGUAAAAUGGGUUGAUACAAAGCUGUAUACACAGAUAUACAGCAGUAUACAUGGGAUAUACAGUUAAAAACGGGAGAUGAAGUUGAUGUACAAGUGGAAGACCAAAAUAUAUGCAUAUGUGGCUGAUAUACAGUCUGAUAUACAUCAGAUAUACAAAAAC